This is a long non-coding RNA of Anopheles arabiensis, 1433 nucleotides long. RefSeq lists it as uncharacterized. The transcript has 3 exons. Lineage: Eukaryota; Metazoa; Arthropoda; Insecta; Diptera; Culicidae. The record is from RefSeq and is a predicted model, not a curated record.
CAUGACGGCAACAAUAACACAAUCCUAAAUAAUAGUGAAAGUGCUCCUUUUACCUGACGGAUGCAGCACAUGUCCACAGAACAAAAAAGCACACCGCAGAAAGACACGCACACAUGGAACCGGUCGUAUGAUGAUGCUAAAAAUAUGAGCAUUAAAAAUUAUGGCUCAUCAAAUGAAAACGAUUGCAGAGGAGAGACUACGAGUUGUGGGCUUACCCCGAGAGGCAGGCAACGGCAGUAAGGAAAGCAAAGCACAUCCCCAUGGCCACGCUUCAAGAAGCAAAAGGUGGUGCCUCCUUAACAGUGCUCAAGGAAGACGACGAUUCGGCAGGGUAAAGAAGAAAAAAGGUCACAGUUGAAAUGCAGGAUUGCUGGCAAAGCAUAUUUAACAUUUGGCCACUUUGCAUCUCUGUUCCUUCAAUAUCGUUAAUAAAUCAACUCACAAAAGUAUGCACAAUGAAGCAAUCCUUAGCUGAUCAGAUGCAGCAAAGCAGUAGAGAAUUGAAUUAUUCUACAAAAUCUUCCAUACUUCAUUUGCUGUCUACCUCAAGAUAAUCGAUUGGUAGCAAACAGCAUUCGGACUGCAUUUUAAAAGAAGUAAGCAAUAAGACAACAAAAUGUCGGAGGGAAAAGAAUCAAAAUAUGUAAAUACCAUUCCAGGCGAAUAAAUGCCAACCAAUGAGGGAGAAGAGUUUCUCCCCAAAACGCACACGAUGGCGGUAGAAGAAAAUGUAAAUCGCUUCAAAAUGAAAUUAUAAUGAAAACAAAAAAUCCCACCAAGACAGGAAUAUUGUUCACGAAAUCGAAAAAAAAACAGAGGGAAAGCUUUUCCCGUCCCUCGCAUAAAGUCAGAAAGCGGAUCAGCAGCGGCAACUUAAGCCAACGCUAGAAAAGAACAAACACACACACGCGCACACACAUGAUGGGAUGUCACCCGGCUGGUAUUUUAUUCAUUUUCCAGUAUCAAUCUAGUAUCGCUUUCAUCGUACAUCAGCGCGACAGAGUAAUGCCUUUCAUCGCCCGGGAAAAAAGGCAGACACACACUCAUCCGGCGACGCCAGCCACCGAGCGAAUGCAAGGAUGAUAACAGCUUUAAAUUAAAGAAACAUUCACCCGAACACAGCGAACAGGCAAAACCUGGUGUUCCCUGGUGGCACAGUGGCUUCACGCACAAGAGGGAAACCCCCAGCAAAGACGGGAAACGAAUCGCAUAAAUUGUAUUUUUAUUUAUUAUUAAAAAAGAAGUCGCGCACAGUCGGCAGUGGAGGAGACGAUGGGCACCAAACAUUUCUUUGCUGCUGUCGGCAGGGUUGGCGGCUCUUUCUCAUAUUUCAUGCGGUUAAUAUCGUGUGGCAGUGUGGGGGGAAGUGGUACCAAGGAUGGAACGGAAAAGGUUGCCUGCAUUCUUCUGUUUACGAGGGGGCAGGCCUUAUC